RNAcentral lists this ribosomal RNA (62 nucleotides) under Aspergillus fumigatus. Its description in RNAcentral is "partial large subunit ribosomal RNA". The record is from RNAcentral. Lineage: Eukaryota; Fungi; Ascomycota; Eurotiomycetes; Eurotiales; Aspergillaceae.
UGACCUCGGAUCAGGUAGGGAUACCCGCUGAACUUAAGCAGUUAUUGCAAUAAGCGGAGGAA